RNAcentral lists this long non-coding RNA (203 nucleotides) under Elaeis guineensis (African oil palm). RNAcentral's name for it is "long non-coding RNA (EGUI_LNC032091)". Lineage: Eukaryota; Viridiplantae; Streptophyta; Magnoliopsida; Arecales; Arecaceae. The record is from RNAcentral.
CGAAAAAAUCGGAGAGGAAAAGAGGGGAAAAGAGUCGAUGGAUCGAUUCUAAAGAGAGGGGGUCUUCUUAUAGGAAAUCCUAGGACUCCGAGGGGUCUUAGGAGUCCGAUUUUUGUCUGGGUUUUAUCGGAGAAGAAGAUUUCCAUCGGGAGUCUUCUUCCCGAUUUUUGAUUUUUUUUUUUUUUUUUUUUUUUUUUUGGGGC